CAGAGUUGCUCUCUGAAGUAGGAGGAGGACCCAUAAUUUGAGAUCACGGAGCCUAUAAUAGGAGUAGGGUUAUGGCAACUGCUACCGCCUCUCAGCACUGCUCCGAUAAAGGAGGAGGUAUAGGUGAGUACAGUUUUGUUCAUUUGUGUGUGUUUUUUAAAUGUAUUUGAACUACGCAAGUGUUCGCAAUAGUCUGAGUUUAAUCUUCAUUUAUAUUUUAAUUAUUCUGAUAUUAUCUGACUUUGUCUCUUCCUAUUCGCUAUCACUUCUUCUUCUUCCUCUUUCCCCCCUGAGUGAACUGCCUCCGUUUUGACGCAUGGAAACGUUUUUAAGUGGCAAAGAAGAAUUGAAUGAAAGAUGAUGCAUGCCACUUAAAAUGCCUGAGGGAGCAAGCGUAAUCUAAAUUGGAUAUAGAAGCUAUUAUUACACAACAUUAUGCGUUGUGGCGGACUAAUUGCGUGGCUGGAUCCAUGUUGAUGAAGUCACCAAGCAGUCAGUGAAAUGCACCCUUCAAACACACAAGCACCCUUGCAAUUACAGCUUAAGUUAAACAACCUUGUUCACAUUUUGAAAUGAUAAUUAAAAAAUACAUACUCAAAAAGUCAGUUCUGUGUUUAUAUAACUGUAAUAAUUUAUCCGUUUUUUAACUCUUUUAUAGUUUUUAAAUAUGCUGCAUUGCUGCUAUUCCCGUGAUUUUAUUCGAGAUAGAAUCCCUCAAUGUUUUACGUAGUAUCACCACUUUUGCUCACACAAACUGAUGCCCAUGAUUCGAUGGGUUGAUUUGACUUUAAUAAUCAUACAAUUUACAUGAAGCACAAUAAUUCAAUAUGGCUUUCAGGGGAGAGAAUCUAUUUUCUGAUCUCCUUUCUGUUCUUGUGAUCUCUUUUUCUUUUAUUGACCUGAAUGAAGAUGUAUGGAGUGAGAGUGUGUGUGUGUCUUUGGUUUCCUCCUGAUGGGGUAUAUCAGCUCCCCCCUCUUCUCCCUACUCCCCACGAUCCCCGCAAGGCUGAAUGGCAGGCCUCUGGAUUGGCUAAGUGAUGAAAUGAUGACCCUAUUAUGGGAAGCGAUUCCAAAAUGAGAGAUAUCAGAAGAAGAUUACACCCCUCUCUCACUGCCACGCCAUCCUCCUGCAAUACACUGCCAGCUGCGCAGAUGAUGAUUGAUUCGCUUGAGAUGGAUCACAGGAAGCACCCAUUGAUUUUUCUGUGUUUUAUCAAAAAUAUUUAUUUACAGUUGUAUCCAUAGGGUGUAUCCAGACUCAACCCAUACUUCGUUCUCCAAAUGGGGGUUGGUAUAAAAGGGAUAAUUCCCCCUGUUCCAUGACAAGACGAAUGACCUGAAGUAUUAUUUCAGAAAUGAGUCAAUAGGCUCAGUGAGUAAAUGAAUAUUGAUUGGAUAUAAUGAAGCCUGAGUGUGAAUAUGAGCCCUGUUGCAGACUUCACUGCAGUGAUGCUGAUCCUCUCCAACUGAGUAUUUUGCAGACCUGCAUGUGCAGCUGGGACCAAAUACACCUCAUUCAGAGGGUGAAUCAACACACUCAGCAUUCAACUUUUCCUGUGUAUUUUGAUUCAUGAUCUGAGAGUGUCCAUACUUGACUCGCUUCUUAUCAGAUCUAUGGCUAAAUAGCAUGUUUAUGGUGAAGGUGCUAUAGGUGCCAUAUGGCAAUAAUCCAAGACUCAUGUUACUUAAAAGCUCUGGAGACAUGUAGGAGGCAUUUCUGUGUCACCUUUACAAAGGUAAACUGAUACAACAUACAAAUCAAAUGACAACUAGAAUGCUAAAACCACAGUGUGGGAGCUGUGCCCUAGAUAUUUGCACUGACUUAAUCCAAUUGAAAUAGUAUGAGUGAGUUGCAGGGGCUCCCAGGUCUGUUGCUUGCUUAUGUAUGUGAUGCAUAAUAGAAGUUGACGAGGUUGGUGAUAGAUCACAGCCCAGGUAAUGUAAACACAUUAAUCCCUCAGGGUUCAUGUGCAUGUUCUUUCUCUCCUUUUCUCUUAUAUCAGUCCCUCUCUCUCUAUCUGUCUCUCUCUUUCUCUCUCUUCAAGCCCUCAUCCUCCCCCCUCCACGUUCAUCAUCUUCCCUAAACGCGUUAGUGGAGCACAAACCAGAAGCAGCCUUAAUCUGUCAACAUGCCCUUUAAUUGGAGGGAGAAAACAACACGUGCUUCUGGUUAUGCCAUUCCUAAGUGCACAUGCCAAAGAAACACAGAGUUCAUGGAAGAAGUGAUCCCGGGAGAGCAGGGCAUAAUUAAAAGUAUCUUUUAAUAGGCUUGUAAUGCUGAGCCUGACUCUUGUUGCUUUAAGUAGAGGGCGAACUCUGUGGCUGGAGACGGACAUGCAAGGGGCUUCUGCUGAGGGAGCCUGUAAACGAUACAUUGCCUCGUCGUCAUCAGACAUGCAGUCUCUGCCUCAGUCACCACACUCGAGAUGACAGCCACUUUCCACCCCUGCCGCGGACACCUUGGCUUACCCGUUGCCGUGUUCUUUUGUUCUCAGAAUGAGAGAUUCUCCUCCACGACAUCACCUCUCCUCAUCUCCUUCCCAGCCACUUUGGCAAGUUGUGUUCUACCUCCUACUCACAGCACCAGCGGGGAGUGAGAACUGGGACUAAGGGGUUGAUUUGGGGCCUGCUACACUGUAAUCAAAUGAGACUGCUUAGGGGAGAGGAGAAGGAGGAGGUGGAGUAUUAUGUUCUGUCGUGCAUUCCACUGCAGCAUUGUUGCUUUUUUGUUUUUGUCAGGGCAGGCUUUGAUGCUGUAUCCUCUUACCUUUGUAGUCCCGGUAGCCAUGUUUCAUAAACACGGAAUGGGAAACAUCCUCAGCAUUAGAAAUUUAGAUUGCUGCUUUCCUCCUGCCACUCUGCAUUCCGCACGUGCCCGGUCGCAUUCUCCAUCUCCCAUUGCUGAGUAACCAUUUUGUCCGACAUCUGACACACUGCCCUGGGUUAUUGAGCCAGACGUGGAAAUCCAAAGCGGAGAUGCUCUCCUUAAUGCCUGACACCUGGUGCAGAUUUGGAAGGGAUUGCACUACAGGGUGUGCUUUACAAGUGGACGCUACUCAGGAGUGUUGCAGCUCACCUUACCGCUUGCAGUCACAUCUGCAGACUGUGCUGGAGCAGAAUGGCUAGCGAACAUAAACACAGCAAGGACAUCAAAGGCCGGCAGUCUUAUUUAUUGAUAUUAGUAAUGCAGCUGUCAUUCUGCAAUGAGAUCUGUCCUCUGUCUGGGUGAAUGCUGAUAAGAUGACACAAUGCAAAUAUGAAGUGUGAUGGAGCCGCCUUGGCAAGCAGGUACAGAGUGUGCAGGGACCAG
Molecule: long non-coding RNA, 3310 nt
Organism: Oreochromis aureus
Lineage: Eukaryota; Metazoa; Chordata; Actinopteri; Cichliformes; Cichlidae
Source: Ensembl